UACGUAGGGUCCGAGCGUUGUCCGGAUUUAUUGGGCGUAAAGAGCGUGUAGGCGGUUAGGUAGGUCCGUUGUGAAAACUCGAGCUCAACCUCGAGACGCCGAUGGAAACCCCCCUAACUAGAGUCCGGAAGAGGAGAGUGGAAUUCCUGGUGUAGCGGUGAAAUGCGCAGAUAUCAGGAAGAACACCCGUGGCUAAGGCGGCUCUCUAGUACGGUACUGACGCUGAGACGCGAAAAGCAUGGGGGAGCAAACAGG
RNAcentral lists this ribosomal RNA (255 nucleotides) under uncultured bacterium. Its description in RNAcentral is "partial 16S ribosomal RNA". It matches the Rfam family "Bacterial small subunit ribosomal RNA", at positions 524 to 776 of the family's 1533-position model. The record is from RNAcentral.